This is a long non-coding RNA of Lineus longissimus, 1361 nucleotides long. RefSeq lists it as uncharacterized. The transcript has 3 exons. The record is from RefSeq and is a predicted model, not a curated record. NCBI's taxonomy places the organism in Eukaryota, Metazoa, Nemertea, Pilidiophora, Heteronemertea, Lineidae.
AUGAGUGACAAGCAAGAUGGUGUCCAAUAAGUGGAUAAUUAUAUGGAUUGCACUCUUUAAUCUACUUAUAGACAAAGCUUUCGGAGGCAUCUACUAUGAAGGACUGACUGGUACCAAUCUUUCCUGCUACACGUGUAAGGAAAGUUACAAAAUCACGCCAUACGACCCAACAGCCCACACCUGCCAGUCAAACCUUCCCAAAGUAGACAUCAUCUCCUGCGGCAUGAAAGAUAAAUACUGCAAGGUAUGACUGCAGAGAAUAAUUAUACCCACGCUAAUCUCCUGUAGCGGAUAGGUGCCGUCAAAGCAGAUCUCACAGACAUCCGUGCAGUGCAGGGCCGGAGAAGCGAACGUUAACCCCCGAUUUCCUCAGGAUGCACAUAGUUACAAUUGAAAGAAGCUGUACGGACACAUGUUAUUAUGGAUGUAAGUUCCAAGGAUACGGAUUGACCUAUCUGAAAUGUACGUCGUGCUGUAGAGGACAUGCGUGCAACACAGACAGCCACGGAGUGAUUAUCACGCCAAGUUUAUUUCUUUAUGUGAUGAUGAUUUUAAUUGCUACAUUUAUAAUCCGAGGAUAAACGAUAAGUCCGUAUCGUCGUCUGACGGUGGCCAGUGGUACCAGGCUAUAUCCGCAGUAGUUCGCGUACGCUCAGGAAAAUCUAAUGAAUAUAAAAUGAGGUCUAAAAAUAGUUUUAGGAAUACCAUUAUUAUGAAGUCAGCGAUGGAAUUUCCUGGUUGGACUUAGGAAAUUUAUGAUAAAAUAACUAGGACUGUGCACUUGGUGGGAGUGGCCGUCCCUUCCCUUACUUCGUUACUUCGAGAUUUUUUCCAAAUGUGCUGGAAGACCUCCAACGGCAGACGAAUUUGGAGUUGGUUCUCGAAGUUGUGUUCCGGCGGAGCAUUAGGAGGAGAAGAUGAACCACCGGCUGGUGACCUCUUAACUCGAACUUCAUGGCGACGGCCCGGUUCUUUGAUAGGGUCAGGCCAGCGGAAAACCCCAACACCUUCAGUUUUGCUGGAGUUGCCGCAAAACAUCGCAGCACAACGCCACCCGACAACCCUUUUCUUUUUCUUCUCCAUAAUCUUCAGUUCUUAUCGUGUAUAUAUUGUGUAAGGACAGGAUGGAAUGUCAAUGGUCAAUGGCAGUUGUAAAUAAACGAAUGAGAUUUUUUUUUUCGCGGGAAUGUAAACCAUCGCGACAGCGAAAAUGUUCAUGUUGUGACGUCAUCAACAAAAACGUCGUCGGCGUAGCGCGAUUUCAACGGCAUCGAAGCGAGCCGUCCGGGCGGGAUUAAAACCAUCAAUUUCUCGAAAAUGUGCAUUUCGAUUCGAAAACCUUACCGAUUUAUGAGAAAGUG